Molecule: ribosomal RNA, 160 nt
Filed under: uncultured bacterium
Lineage: Bacteria
Description: partial 16S ribosomal RNA
Rfam family: Bacterial small subunit ribosomal RNA
Source: RNAcentral
UCAAUGCACCAAGUCUGAUGGAGCGCGCCGCGUGAGUGAUACGUUUUCGGAUCUUAAAACUCUGUUGUUGGGGAAGACGUAUUUGAUACUAACUGAUCAGGUAGUGACCGUAUCCAACCAUAAAGCCACGGCUAACUAUAUGCCAGCAGCCGCGGUAAUA